RNAcentral lists this ribosomal RNA (399 nucleotides) under uncultured bacterium. RNAcentral's name for it is "partial 16S ribosomal RNA". It matches the Rfam family "Bacterial small subunit ribosomal RNA", at positions 360 to 776 of the family's 1533-position model. The record is from RNAcentral.
AAUAUUGCACAAUGGGUGAAACCCUGAUGCAGCGACGCCGCGUGAGUGAAGAAGUAAUUCGGUAUGUAAAGCUCUAUCAGCAGGGAAGAUAAUGAUGGUACCUGACUAAGAAGCCCCGGCUAACUACGUGCCAGCAGCCGCGGUAAUACGUAGGGGGCAAGCGUUAUCCGGAUUUACUGGGUGUAAAGGGAGCGUAGGUGGUUCGGUAAGUCAGAUGUGAAAGCCCGGGGCUCAACCCCGGGACUGCAUUUGAAACUAUCGAACUAGAGUGUAGGAGAGGUAAGUGAAAUUCCUAGUGUAGCGGUGAAAUGCGUAGAUAUUAGGAGGAAAACCAGUGGCGAAGGCGGCUUACUGGACUAUAACUGGAACUGAGGCUCGAAAGCGUGGGGAGCAAACAGG